RNAcentral lists this ribosomal RNA (513 nucleotides) under uncultured bacterium. Its description in RNAcentral is "partial 16S ribosomal RNA". It matches the Rfam family "Bacterial small subunit ribosomal RNA", at positions 28 to 507 of the family's 1533-position model. The record is from RNAcentral.
GACGAACGCUGGCGGCGUGCUUAACACAUGCAAGUCGAACGAAAAGAGGGAAAGAGCUUGCUCUUUCCGGAAUUGAGUGGCAAACGGGUGAGUAACACGUAAACAACCUGCCUUCAGGAUGGGGACAACAGACGGAAACGACUGCUAAUACCGAAUAAGUUCCAAGAGUCGCAUGGCCCAUGGAAGAAAAGGUGGCCUCUACCUGUAAGCUAUCGCCUGAAGAGGGGUUUGCGUCUGAUUAGCUGGUUGGAGGGGUAACGGCCCACCAAGGCGACGAUCAGUAGCCGGUCUGAGAGGAUGAACGGCCACACUGGAACUGAGACACGGUCCAGACUCCUACGGGAGGCAGCAGUGGGGAAUCUUCCGCAAUGGGCGAAAGCCUGACGGAGCAACGCCGCGUGAGUGAUGACGGCCUUCGGGUUGUAAAACUCUGUGAUCCGGGACGAAAAGGCAGAGUGCGAAGAACAAACUGCAUUGACGGUACCGGAAAAGCAAGCCACGGCUAACUACGUG